UUUAUUUUUGUUACAUCUCUAACAGAAAAGCAUUUAUUAAAUUUCUCAAAAAUUUUUGUGGCAAAAAAAUUUAAAUUUUUUUAAAAUAUGUAAAUAAAUUCAAAAAUCUUAAAAUUAGCGGUUGAUUGAACCUUUUAGAACGUACUGUACUAAAUUCACCACGCUGCAUUCCAACAUUAACAUCAGCUGUUAACGCUGUUUAUGCUGAUAAGACCAAUUUGGUUGGUGCAAGAAAAAAUAGUGGAGUGGCGUAUUUACAUCUCUGGCAGAAAAAGUUAAGCAAUGUAUGCGGCAUUUCGUCAGAUUUUGAAUAAACACGUGUGGCUGAAACCGUUGCCAAAAUUUUUGGUUAAUCAACAGACGCGGAUACUUACACAGAAGCCAGAGAAUAUUAAGUUACCGCCCACACCAAAACCCUGUUGUCUAGCCGGUUGCACGAAUUGCGUUUGGGUUGAAUAUGCGCAAAAAAUUGCGGAUUUAUUGAAUGGUUAUGACGAGAAAGCACAAGAAAUUAUUUUGAAUAAAGUACCAGAUCCGGUGUUGAGAAGUUUCUUGAAAGUAGAAUUGAAAAGCAUUCAACAACAGAGAGAACGUGAACAUUUCGACGACUGAUAAGAGAUGCGACCUAUAUGUCGCCAACCUUGUACUCGUGGCCUCUUAAUACAACCCGCUAAAACAGUUCUUAAUUAUCUUUUGCGUAUAUAUGGUGAUAAAUCGGGCCAAAUUGAGAUUCCACCCGAACCCACAACAUGCUGCAUGUCUGGCUGUGCGAAUUGCGUUUGGAUCGAGUAUGCAGAGACAUUAUCAAAACUUUUUGAAGGUAAUGACGAAAAGGCGAGACAAAUUAUAUUAAGUAAAAUAACAGAUCCAAAUUUAAAAAUGUUCUUAAGUAUGGAGUUGAGAAAUAUUUCACAAAGGAAAGCUGAUGAAACAAGUACGAGUACUUCGAAAAAGGAUCAAUAGCCGCUACAGAAAAAUAGUCUAUAAAUUUAUUGCCUCCCUAUCUUAUUUAACAAUAAACUAAAUAUAUUUAUAUUCUAUACAAAUUAAGUGCAAAAUAAAAUAAUUCAAAUAUACAAUGAAGAAAA
Molecule: long non-coding RNA, 1088 nt
Organism: Bactrocera oleae (olive fruit fly)
Lineage: Eukaryota; Metazoa; Arthropoda; Insecta; Diptera; Tephritidae
Source: RefSeq, a predicted model, not a curated record